This is a long non-coding RNA of Papaver somniferum (opium poppy), 1523 nucleotides long. RefSeq lists it as uncharacterized. The transcript has 3 exons. The record is from RefSeq and is a predicted model, not a curated record. NCBI's taxonomy places the organism in Eukaryota, Viridiplantae, Streptophyta, Magnoliopsida, Ranunculales, Papaveraceae.
CUUCCUUUCUUCUUCUCUUUCAUUCUUCUUCAUCUGCGAGUCGAGAGAAAUCAAAUUAAAGUUACGUGAUCGUCAGAAAGUGGAGAAGAUCAUGUAGUAGUCGGCGGUGAUGGUGGUAGUGAUUGUGGUGGAUUCAGACUCGACGGAGUAAGAGAUUUAGAAGCUAGGGUUUCUACGAAAAGCUCAGAGAAGAAUUAGGAGAUGAAAUUAGUGUUCUAAGAGGAGAAUUGAAGGAUGGGUUUGCAUUAAUUGAAGACUUGUAUAGAGAUUUUGAUCUCAGGUGAAGUAGAAGCUCAUGCAACUGUAAUUGGAAUUAGAGUUUCAUAUUGAUGGAAAUAGAAGGUUUACUUGGUUGUUAAGAGAUGAAGAACGAAAGGGUUGCGUUGAAUUAACAUUGGGGAAAUGUUUUGGUAGUGAAUUGAUGAAUUAAGGUUCGUUUCUGUUUUAAUGAAGGUAUGGGAAUUGAAUUAGAAUUUGAUCGAUGGUGAUAAUGAAGACUUAGGGUUUUUAUUUGAGAUUGAAAAUAGGAGACUAAUAUCAGAGAAUAAUUGAUGAUGGCGGUGUUGCUUCAAAGGAUGCUUCAAACUCAUGGGAGAUGAGAAUUAGGGUUUCAGCAUCAAUGGGUUGUGGAACAUCAAUUCAGGGAAAACUAUUGUUGGUUGAGUGUGUUAGAAAUGGGAUAUGCUAUGUUUUGGAAGUGGUUAUGGAAUGGAACUGCAUACAGGUGGAUAUAAUGUUGAACUGGUGGUAUUGAAGAUGAUUGUGAUAGUGGUUGUGUAAUGAUGCCAACGGUCUGUGAAUGAAUUGCAAGUAUAGCUAGUGUUGAGGCUAUGGUUUCUGUGUGUGUAUAUGUUGUUGUUGAGAGUGGAAUGGGUAUGUAAUGAAGAGUUAUAUGAAUGUUAAUUGGUGUGUUUGAGACAAGGAGAAUGGUAUUACUGAGUUUACAGGUUGUGCAGGAAGAGACUGAGGUGAGAUGGCUUGUGCAAUUUUGAUUGGUUGUUAGAUGGUUCUAUUGGAAUUAGAAUGGAGUCAUAGCUGGUGCUGGUGCUGAUGUUGAUGCUUUUGUGGUGGUGUCCGUGCAUGUCUGUUAUGCAAUUAUGAAUUGUGCAGUGAUGUUUAACUUAUUGUGUUUGUAAUGAGAUGUUUUGCUACUGAUUUGAAAUGGACUAGACCAGCAUUUGGUUGCAGUUGAUGGAAUAUGAAUGUGAAAGUGGAGUGUAAAAAGGAAUUGGGGUUAUAGUGGUGGAGUAUUGAGCUGAGGUGCAGUGUUCUUGAGAUGAAUAUAUGUGUGUCUGAAUUGAAAGUUAGUUUGUAGGUUAAAGAACAAUAAGAUUGUUGUGAAAGAUUAAAGCUGCAACUGCAUUUUCAGAGACAGAUCAGAGUUGCGCAGCGAAGCUUCAAGGGUUGUUUUCGUUAGUUGGUUAACUUCUAUUAUGUAUAUUUUAUUAUUAUUUGUAUCUGUAAACCAAAUGACUAUUGUAUAUGUAUCAUUUGAGAGGACUUCUUGUAUAUAUAUGUUUCAG